Molecule: ribosomal RNA, 305 nt
Filed under: uncultured bacterium
Lineage: Bacteria
Description: bacterial SSU rRNA
Rfam family: Bacterial small subunit ribosomal RNA
Source: RNAcentral
UUGUCCUACGGGCGCAGCAGUGGGGAAUAUUGCACAAUGGGGGAAACCCUGAUGCAGCGACGCCGCGUGAGUGAGGAAGUAUUUCGGUAUGUAAAGCUCUAUCAGCAGGGAAGAAAAUGACGGUACCUGACCAAGAAGCCCCGGCUAACUACGUGCCAGCAGCCGCGGUAAUACGUAGGGGGCAAGCGUUAUCCGGAUUUACUGGGUGUAAAGGGAGCGUAGGCGGCUGUGUAAGCCAGAAGUGAAAGCCCGAGGCUCAACCACGGGACUGCUUUUGGAACUACAUGGCUUGAUUGCAGGAGAGG